Long non-coding RNA from Lactuca sativa (garden lettuce), 558 nucleotides. RefSeq lists it as uncharacterized. NCBI's taxonomy places the organism in Eukaryota, Viridiplantae, Streptophyta, Magnoliopsida, Asterales, Asteraceae. The record is from RefSeq and is a predicted model, not a curated record.
CAGGUAUCACCAUCAAUCUAUGGUCUAAGCCUACCGAUUCAACUGAUUCCUUGUUGCAGCUACGAUUUUUCUCGACUACAUUUUUCCUCCAUAGGAGUUAGCUGUUUUGCAGUAUGGGAAGAAGACUAAAGUGGCUAUGUAUCACUUCUACCAAAAUCAGCGAGCUUAUAGAAGACCAUGGGGCUACUGAAACAUAAGGUGUUCAAUCAAAUUCUAGAGAAUGUCAGUCUAUUAAUCAACAAUCAAACCAACAAUCUUUUGAGUGUGGGAUAGGUGCAAAUGAACAAGGUCCCUAGUAUUUCUUCAGUCCCUAACAAAUCUGUAUCAGUUAACCAGAUGUCACCAACAAGAAGUCAGGAUAACAAUGGUAACCGCUAGUAUUAUUGCUAAGAAAGAGUUCACAUGAGGAUCACAUUACUCGCAUGAAGAUUUUGAGAGAGGUUCAAGAGCGUAAUGAUUUUUUGUGUUUUAUGUUAGAUUUUUAGACUUAAAUUGACAUUUGUAGCCAUUUGUUUCCAAAUUUUGCGAAUGUUUUUGGAACACGAUUUAAAUUUUAAU